GAUGAACGCUAGCUACAGGCUUAACACAUGCAAGUCGAGGGGAACGACAUCGAAAGCUUGCUUUUGGUGGGCGUCGACCGGCGCACGGGUGAGUAACGCGUAUCCAACCUGCCCACCACUUGGGGAUAACCUUGCGAAAGUAAGACUAAUACCCAAUGACGUCUCUAGAAGACAUCUGAAAGAGAUUUAAAGAUUUAUCGGUGAUGGAUGGGGAUGCGUCUGAUUAGCUUGUUGGCGGGGUAACGGCCCACCAAGGCGACGAUCAGUAGGGGUUCUGAGAGGAAGGUCCCCCACAUUGGAACUGAGACACGGUCCAAACUCCUACGGGAGGCAGCAGUGAGGAAUAUUGGUCAAUGGGCGAGAGCCUGAACCAGCCAAGUAGCGUGCAGGAUGACGGCCCUAUGGGUUGUAAACUGCUUUUAUAAGGGAAUAAAGUGAGCCUCGUGAGGCUUUUUGCAUGUACCUUAUGAAUAAGGACCGGCUAAUUCCGUG
RNAcentral lists this ribosomal RNA (492 nucleotides) under uncultured bacterium. RNAcentral describes it as "bacterial SSU rRNA". It matches the Rfam family "Bacterial small subunit ribosomal RNA", at positions 28 to 507 of the family's 1533-position model. The record is from RNAcentral.